RNAcentral lists this ribosomal RNA (447 nucleotides) under Triticum aestivum (bread wheat). Its description in RNAcentral is "partial small subunit ribosomal RNA". The record is from RNAcentral. Lineage: Eukaryota; Viridiplantae; Streptophyta; Magnoliopsida; Poales; Poaceae.
AUGUGGAAUGCAGUGGUGGAUGUGCUUGCAAUUAUGGUUGACGAUGCCCGAGAACACACUUCUCAAGGUGGAGCUUCAGGUUUGAUCAUACAGAUGGAAUGCUUCCAGUUUGUGUUCAUCAUGCUAUUCUUAAUAAACUUGUUGAGCAUCACUAAUUUGCUAUCACAAGCUUUGCAAAGAAAGAAACAAGAUGUUGUUGAAGCCAUGUGUUUGAUCUUGGAUGUGAAAGAAGCUUUGCAAAAUAUGAGGGACAAUGGGUAUGAGUCAUUAUGCGACCAAGCAAACAACUUCUGUGAGGAACAUAACAUUGAGGUGCCAAAUAUGGACGAUCUUGUUGGAGCUAUGGGGCAAUCUGUUCUCAGCAAGAAUAAGGUGACUCGACAUCAUUAUUUCAAUGUUAGCAUAUCCAAUGUUGCUCUUGAUGCAACUCUCACCGAGAUGAGUUAA